This 402-nucleotide ribosomal RNA is filed under the name uncultured bacterium. Its description in RNAcentral is "bacterial SSU rRNA". It matches the Rfam family "Bacterial small subunit ribosomal RNA", at positions 355 to 774 of the family's 1533-position model. The record is from RNAcentral.
UCGGGAAUUUUGGGCAAUGGGCGAAAGCCUGACCCAGCAACGCCGCGUGAGGGAUGAAGUAUUUCGGUAUGUAAACCUCGAAAGAAUGGGAAGAAUAAAUGACGGUACCAUUUAUAAGCUCCGGCUAACUACGUGCCAGCAGCCGCGGUAAUACGUAGGGAGCAAGCGUUGUUCGGAAUCACUGGGCGUAAAGCGCAUGCAGGCGGAUCGUUAAGUCGGGGGUGAAAGCCCGAGGCUCAACCUCGGAACUGCCUUCGAUACUGGCGAUAUUGAGUCCGGGAGAGGUGAGUGGAACUCCGAGUGUAGAGGUGAAAUUCGUAGAUAUUCGGAAGAACACCAGUGGCGAAGGCGGCUCGCUGGCCCGGUACUGACGCUGAGAUGCGAAAGCGUGGGGAGCAAACA